UCCAGGGUAGCCUAGUGGAUAUGGCAUCUGCCCGGUAAGCGGAACAUUGUGGGUUCGAUUCCCUUCCCUGGAC
This 73-nucleotide transfer RNA is filed under the name Cordylochernes scorpioides. Its description in RNAcentral is "tRNA-Thr". It matches the Rfam family "tRNA". Rfam says of the family: Transfer RNA (tRNA) molecules are approximately 80 nucleotides in length. Their secondary structure includes four short double-helical elements and three loops (D, anti-codon, and T loops). Lineage: Eukaryota; Metazoa; Arthropoda; Arachnida; Pseudoscorpiones; Chernetidae. The record is from RNAcentral.